ACUGCUCAGUAACACGUGGAUAACCUGCCCUUGGGUCCGGCAUAACUCCGGGAAACUGGAGAUAAUUCCGGAUAACGCACAUGCUGGAAUGCUUUAUGCGUAAAAUGGAUUCGUCUGCCCAAGGAUGGGUCUGCGGCGGAUUAGGUUGACGCCGGCGUAACGUACCGGCGUGCCUGUAAUCCGUACGGGUUGUGGGAGCAAGAGCCCGGAGAUGGAUUCUGAGACAUGAAUCCAGGCCCUACGGGGCGCAGCAGGCGCGAAAACUUUACAAUGCGGGAAACCGUGAUAAGGGGACACCGAGUGCCAGCAUCAUAUGCUGGCUGUCCAGGUGUGUAAAAUACACCUGUUAGCAAGGGCCGGGCAAGACCGGUGCCAGCCGCCGCGGUAACACCGGCGGCCCGAGUGGUGAUCGUGAUUAUUGGGUCUAAAGGGUCCGUAGCCGGUUUGGUCAGUCCUCCGGGAAAUCUGAUAGCUCAACUAUUAGGCUUUCGGAGGAUACUGCCAGACUUGGAACCGGGAGAGGUAAGAGGUACUACAGGGGUAGGAGUGAAAUCUUGUAAUCCCUGUGGGACCACCUGUGGCGAAGGCGUCUUACCAGAACGGGUUCGACGGUGAGGGACGAAAGCUGGGGGCACGAACCGGAUUAGAUACCCGGGUAGUCCCAGCCGUAAGCGAUGCUCGCUAGGUGUCAGGCAUGGCGCGACCGUGUCUGGUGCCGCAGGGAAGCCGUGAAGCGAGCCACCUGGGAAGUACGGCCGCAAGGCUGAAACUUAAAGGAAUUGGCGGGGGAGCAC
RNAcentral lists this ribosomal RNA (794 nucleotides) under uncultured archaeon. RNAcentral describes it as "bacterial SSU rRNA". It matches the Rfam family "Archaeal small subunit ribosomal RNA", at positions 85 to 879 of the family's 1478-position model. The record is from RNAcentral.